Molecule: ribosomal RNA, 506 nt
Filed under: uncultured bacterium
Lineage: Bacteria
Description: partial 16S ribosomal RNA
Rfam family: Bacterial small subunit ribosomal RNA
Source: RNAcentral
AGUGAACGCUGGCGGUAGGCCUAACACAUGCAAGUCGAACGGCAGCACAGAGGAGCUUGCUCCUUGGGUGGCGAGUGGCGGACGGGUGAGGAAUACAUCGGAAUCUACUCUGUCGUGGGGGAUAACGUAGGGAAACUUACGCUAAUACCGCAUACGACCUACGGGUGAAAGCAGGGGAUCUUCGGACCUUGCGCGAUUGAAUGAGCCGAUGUCGGAUUAGCUAGUUGGCGGGGUAAAGGCCCACCAAGGCGACGAUCCGUAGCUGGUCUGAGAGGAUGAUCAGCCACACUGGAACGGAGACACGGUCCAGACUCCUACGGGAGGCAGCAGUGGGGAAUAUUGGACAAUGGGCGCAAGCCUGAUCCAGCCAUACCGCGUGGGUGAAGAAGGCCUUCGGGUUGUGAAGCCCUUUUGUUGGGAAAGAAAUCCAUCUGGUUAAUACCCGGGUGGGAUGACGGUACCCAAAGAAUAAGCACCGGCUAACUUCGUGCCAGCAGCCGCCGUAA